Molecule: ribosomal RNA, 433 nt
Filed under: uncultured bacterium
Lineage: Bacteria
Description: partial 16S ribosomal RNA
Rfam family: Bacterial small subunit ribosomal RNA
Source: RNAcentral
AACGAACGCUGGCGGCAUGCCCAACACAUGCAAGUCGAACGAGACCUUCGGGUCUAGUGGCGCACGGGUGCGUAACGCGUGGGAACCUGCCCUUAGGUUCGGAAUAACUCCCCGAAAGGGGUGCUAAUACCGGAUAAUGUCUUCGGACCAAAGAUUUAUCGCCUUUGGAUGGGCCCGCGUUGGAUUAGCUAGUUGGUAGGGUAAAAGCCUACCAAGGCGACGAUCCAUAGCUGGUCUGAGAGGAUGAUCAGCCACACUGGGACUGAGACACGGCCCAGACUCCUACGGGAGGCAGCAGUGGGGAAUAUUGGACAAUGGGCGAAGGCCUGAUCCAGCAAUGCCGCGUGAGUGAUGAAGGCCUUAGGGUUGUAAAGCUCUUUUACCCGGGAUGAUAAUGACAGUACCGGGAGAAUAAGCUCCGGCUAACUCCGUG